AAGGCUCUAGCUUAAUUAAAGCAUCUGAGUUGCAUUCAGGGGAUGUAGGUUAAUAGCCUGCGAGUCUUA
This 69-nucleotide transfer RNA is filed under the name Glaucis hirsutus. Its description in RNAcentral is "tRNA-Ala". It matches the Rfam family "tRNA". From Rfam's summary of the family: Transfer RNA (tRNA) molecules are approximately 80 nucleotides in length. The record is from RNAcentral. Lineage: Eukaryota; Metazoa; Chordata; Aves; Apodiformes; Trochilidae.